AAAAGAAAAGGGGUGAAAAGAACAAAGUUUUGUCCAUCUUUGUUCAUCAUAGCUGAAAGUUAGAGAAGAGAAAGAGAGGAGAAAGCUCUUGAGUAUUUGGUCAUUAGGAGGAGGAAAAUUGAAGGCGGUUCGUGUGUGGAUCUCGUCAGCAUAUCGUCGCAAACAGGGCUUUAAUGCUGGUGUCGUUUGUUUCUAAUGAAACUAGACUCAAAAUUGAUUCUGUACAUAUAAGGUAUGUCUCCUAAUUCUUUUUAGAUAAUUUAUAGUGAAUUUUUAAAGUUGCGACAGGGAACC
Long non-coding RNA from Gossypium arboreum, 294 nucleotides. RefSeq lists it as uncharacterized. Lineage: Eukaryota; Viridiplantae; Streptophyta; Magnoliopsida; Malvales; Malvaceae. The transcript is spliced from 3 exons. The record is from RefSeq and is a predicted model, not a curated record.